CACAGCACACUUCAGUCCUUCAAGCAGAGACCACCCGCAGGGGAAGCCAGGAGCCCCAGUGGUAGCAAAUGGCCUCAGGCGGCGGUGCCCAGCCUCCCCAGGGCUGGCAGCCCCCGGGCACAGGGCUGAGCUCUGGGGGGACACCCCUCUGCCAGCCCUGUGGAGAGCAGCCGUGAGCUCAAGGCUGAGCUCUUCCUGAGCCUACCUAGAGGCAGAAUUUGUUCAUGCCGAAAGGCGCGUGCCUGCAGCCCGUGCUCCCUCCCCGGACCGCGUAGCCUUGCCGAUGUAAAUUUGGGAUUGAGGGGAGGCACAAGCACGGCACAGAUCUGUGGAUUCUGUCUUCAGCAGUGCUCAGAGCAGCACAUCAACUCCAGCGCUCACGUGUACCCCAACGGGGAUUUGCUGUCAUCUGAGGGGACCUGCUUUCACUACCUCACCUCCAAGGUGAAUACCUUGUAAAAUUGUUCCAGCCAAGGGUGCCAAACAGCUGCUCAAGCCCUUCAGAAAAACCAAGGCUCUGCAAUCAUUAACAAGUACUUGUGACAUGCUGCCUCAUUGAAAGAGAAAACUACUCCCCUUCAGCAGCAAACGGUAAGUGUACCAAACAAGAAAACUUAUCAGAUGUUGAUGUCAUGAGGGGUAUAUAAUCUGUCCUCAGAAAUAAGGCCAUGGGGGUUCUCUUAGUAGCUACUAUCCUACUGGAAUGAUAAACAUGAGCUUGCAUGAGGCGGAGGAGCCAGUUCCCGUUGAAAGUGGAAACUCAUUCUUCGUCACCCUAAUCCCAAGUCAGGAGUCUCUCCCUCUCUGAAUAUAUGUGAAAUCUGCUCCAGGACAAACAGCGCUGGUGUUGGGUGGUGUGACCAGAGACCCUCUCAGAGCUGGAGCACAGUGUUAGCAUCCUCCUAGCCAGAGCAAUGCUGUGUCUCUGCAUCCACUUAGCUUCUUAGCAUGCCCAAAUCGAGAAGGCCAUCAGGGAGGCUCUCAGAAAUGAGUCAAACACUACAAGAUCCCCCCCUUUUGCACUCACUCAGCUCCCCUGAGAGAGGAAGGAGCAGGGAAUGGGAUGCUCAGAUUGCCCCAGCCACUUCUGGGGCAAACAUUUACUUUAGAUUAAGUGGCAUGUAAAGAAGAGUGGAGCCUUCUCUGGCUGGCUGAGGGUUGAUAGUUAAAUAUUUAUAAUGUCCAAAUUAGCAUAGUGAAAGCUCAAUUCAUCAAUUUGUUCUGGUCUGUUUGUAAGAAGGGGAAGGGGUAUCAGGCACCCCGCAGGAGAUGCAGCCGUAGGUGGGCAGGGCACGCAUUCUGCCUCCAUCAGGGCUCCACAGUGUGGCUCCCUGCUGGCACCGAGACCUGUUGCCCUGGCUUAGCCCUUUGGUGGGGUUCGGGAAGAGGCUGGCCACGGGGGCAGGGCUGUGGGGAUCUCUCCUCUUCUCCAAACCCAGUGCCAGGGGAGCAGCCCCAGGCCGCCAGGGGGGCUGCAGGGAGCAGCACGGCCAGGCAACACCAGCCUGGGGCUGCCCACACGGGGGCCGAGGAGGGUGCGGGAUGCCCUGGAAGGGUUAAGGCUUUUCAGGCCAAAAUCCCCCAACAGAAGGCAGGGUCAGCUUCGGAGCUGAAAUCUAAGUGCUAAUGACGGAUGCCCUUCACCCCUCCGCUGCCUGCAAAGGAGAGUGCCCUGGAUGAGCUGGGGCCAGAGAGCAUUUAACAUUUGAACUUUUUCUCGUCUGCAAGGCAGCAGGCCGUUGUGCACAGGGUCGCUGACCCCCAGCCCCGCUCCCCACAGCCCCUCAGCUGCCUCCCAGCCCUAAUUGAAUGACAGAUGGUCAGCGGCAGGGAGAGGGCAGGAGCAGGGCCCCACGUCCCUGGCGGUCCUGCCCACACACCCCCCGCGCCGGCUGCCCCCGAGGCUGCGUGGCACCACUGCCCAGCCCAGCACAUCGAUGGGGACAGGGCAGCGGGCAGGGCUGGGCGUGGGGUGCUGCACUGUGGAGCCCUGGGGGGCCAGCCCAGCCCCAGCACCUCACCCAUUCUUCCCAUCCCUCUGCCAUGCAACAGAACAUCACUACAUCCGUGAUACCAGACCGGGACGGAGUGGCCAAGGCCUCCCGCUGCUCCUGGCAGUGCCAGAGCCGGGGAAGGCGAGGAGCUGGGCUGAGCCGCUGGGAUGUGCGGCAGCCGCAGGGAGCCCAGGUACUGUGGCCAGCCCCUUCCCCUGCCUGCUCUCUCCCCCUGCCAUGCCUCAAGCCGGGGGUGCUGGACAUGUCCUGCCCUGAGUGGAGGAUGCCACAGGUGACAGCAGGGGCCUUACUGCAACCGCACAGGGGCCUGUGGAAGUGGCCCUUGGUGGGGCCAGAGCCUGCCCCUGCCUCCUGCCCGCCGCCCUGCUGACUGCCUUCCAGGCAGAGCCAGGCAGGCCUGGGUGGCCCUGCGGGGGCAGGGGCUGUGCCCCCCAGCUGCCGAGCGCAGCCCCCACUGGAGCCCGCUGUCCCUUUAACAGGGAGCCGUGAUUCCCACAAUUACUGGGAUUACAAGGGAAAGGGUUAUCGAUUUGCAGCCUGCACUGUGUGAUCAGCGCCCGGGAGGCCCCCCCCGGCCCACCUCUCCUACUGUAAGCACGAAACCAUUUAUAAAUGUUUUAUUUCACUGAUCGCCUCACCCUGGCUGCAUAAUAAUAACCCCAGCAGCGCAGAGAUAUAUUCUCUCCACUCCCCCUUUCCCCGCGCCCGCAGCCUGCAAAAGGCACCAACGUGAUAUGCAGCAGCCCCUGAUUUGUGUGUAUGUUUUAAUUACCGCCGGAGAAACCUGUACACAAGCAUAAAAAAGGGUGAGGGAAAAGGAGAGCAGGCCCAGACGGCGCAGGCAAUGGCAGCCUAAUGCACCGCUGGCUGACAGCGACUUCCGCUCAGGCACCUUCUCCAGAUCGAACCCUUCGAUUGUAACUGAACCAAUUUGCAUACUGAUUCCUCUCAUAGCCUCCCGAUCCAUAACCAGCCAGGCAGCUAUUCAAAUGCAAGUAGCAUCCCUAAAUGCAAGGCUAGACUGACCAAAAUGCGCUGUCCAACAAGCAGAAGGAGAAGGAAAAAAAAAAAAAAAAGGCCUUGAUUAUUAUUUCUAUUUUUUGUUCCUUUUAACCUUUAAAAGGUUUAGCUGGAAGCUGUUUGUUUAUGACUGGGGAUGUAAGGGAGAGAAUUGAUCCUGGACUGGACUUAAAGAUGGAGCAAAAUGGGGCGCUGGAGAGAUUUUUCGUUGUGGGGGUUUUUGGUGUGGUGUUUUUUUGGUUUUUUGGGGUUUUUUUUACUUCCUAUUUUUAUUUUUACCAAAGCCACAAACUGAGGCUCUCUGGGGGGGAAAGAGGGUCUGUCCUCUCUCCCACUCCCCACCUCCACCAAAAGCAGCUCAGCUCCUGCAGACCCGGGGAAGACACAAAGUGCUGGCAAUGCUUCUGCCUCUGGUGCGUGUUGGGCUGAUGAAGAACGUGUAAUUCUGGCUGUAAAUUCUUCCGUUUAAGUUGGUCCAAUAAAAGAUCUCUCCUACA
Long non-coding RNA from Falco peregrinus (peregrine falcon), 3532 nucleotides. RefSeq lists it as uncharacterized. The record is from RefSeq and is a predicted model, not a curated record. The transcript has 3 exons. Lineage: Eukaryota; Metazoa; Chordata; Aves; Falconiformes; Falconidae.